UUGCUUUGUCAGCACAUAUACUAAAUUUGGAAUUAUGCGGAGAAGAUUAGCAUGGCCCCUGCACAAGGGUGCCACACAAAUUCAUGAAGUGUUCCAUAUUUUU
Small nuclear RNA from Suncus etruscus (white-toothed pygmy shrew), 103 nucleotides. The record is from RefSeq and is a predicted model, not a curated record. NCBI's taxonomy places the organism in Eukaryota, Metazoa, Chordata, Mammalia, Eulipotyphla, Soricidae.